AUUGGCUAUCCUACCACGUUAAAGACACCGGUGUUCGUCCGCUCACUCAAGUUAGGCAACGUUUGCUCCGGUUAUUACUUACAUGGGUGAUCGGCUUAGAAUACUGGUUGUUGCCGGCU
RNAcentral lists this ribosomal RNA (119 nucleotides) under Trichobilharzia regenti. The record is from RNAcentral. Lineage: Eukaryota; Metazoa; Platyhelminthes; Trematoda; Strigeidida; Schistosomatidae.